AAACAUAUUUAAUGUAGCUAUUAAUUAUGGAUUUGAGACGAACCACCAAAUUCAAAAGGAACAAUGAAGAAGAAGAUAAGGAAAUGGCCUUUGAUGAUAAACAAGGAGUGAAAAUUGGGGAGAAAGGAUCAACAUCUACAGGUUCCGUGUACAGUCAUGGGAGACCUAUCAUUAGGGCUGAGAUCGAAAAAAUUAAUCGGAUACAGAACGGACACACAGUUUGACAUAACAUCCUACGGUCAAAGAUAACAGAGUUAUUAGCCAGUUCAACGGUUAAAAUAAAACAAGAGUCACACCUUAUCAUAUCUCCAGUACCCCUACAACUUUCUCCCAAAUUUUCUGUUCGCAUCCAUACCUCUUCAAAUCGAACUCUACGGACAAAUUACCGAAAAGGGUUCCUUUUUGUGGGCGUUUCCUGUUCUGUAUUCGGUGCUUUGGUCGAGAAAUACCCAAGAGAGUUGCUCCUGGAAUUGAGGAUCAGGUUCUGGAUUUUGAUUCUGGGAUUUGGAGAGCUGAGUCUCCCUUUCUGCUUUCUUGUUUUGGAUAGAGACUUUGUGCCAUGGAGGCUUAUAAAAGAUGGGUUAGGAGGAAUAAAGACUACGUGCACUCACUGGAAUCUCUUACCAAUGGAUUGACGUGGCUUCUUCCUGAGCGGUUUUCUGCUUCAGAGAUAGGACCAGAAGCAGGUUUUGUUAAACUUUGGUAACAUUUGGCUUCUUCUUUUAAGUUAAGGAUUUGUUGGGGCAUUUCCUUUUAAAAAAUCAUGGGAAUGGUGCUCAACUAAUAUAUGUGGUAUAUCAAAUUUUGUGUUUUUAUUUCAGUUCUGAUUUAAUGAUUAAUUAAAGUAAACCUGUGUCUGUUGGUUUGUUGAAUGUAAUUUUGUUGUUUUCUCAUACUCCAAAGGAUAAGGAGUUUUAAGUUUCACAUUUGAGUUCCCUUGCAGUUUCCAUUUCUCCCUUCCACCAAAUAACCAGGCUGGUUUAUUAGUUCAAUUUUUUUUUUUUCUCCUUCUUUGUAUUGCCUUAAAAUGUUGAAUUGAGCAACUUAGUGAUCUUGUGCAGUAACUGCUAUCUUGGGCAUAAUCACUGCUAUCAACGAGCAUAUAAUCGAAACGACUCCAACCCAAUGGCAGGCUGGCUUUGUAGAGCCAUUUUCUUUCCCUUAUUCAUUGUGCAUAUCUGCGGUAAAGGACUUGGAAACACUAGUUGAAGUUACAGCACAACAUUAUUAUGGUGAAGAUAAGAAAUGGAAUUUCAUAGCUGUUACAGAAGCAUUGAAGGUGUUAGUUAGAUUGGCGUUGUUCCGGAACAGUGGAUAUAAGAUGCUUCUGCAUGGAGGAGAGACGCCAAAUACUGAAAAGCAUUCAAAUUUAUCUUCUCAGCAAACUGUUGGAGGUUUCCUAAAGCCUGGAAACCAUGGGCCUAGUCAUUUACGAGGUAAUAAUGGACGGAAUCCAUGGAAUCCAGAAGGGAGGGCAUUGUCAGCAUUGAGUAGGUUUGGAGAAAAUGCUAGAAUGGUAUCUGACCGGGUAUGGUUGGGUAGGGUUCAACAUCAACAUGCAAUCAUAGAGCCUCCAUCUCCAGUGGUUCAGAGGAUGACACUUGCCACAAUAUUGUCUGAGAAAGGUUUACAUGGAGCACUAUUUGUCAUGGGGGAGGUGCUCUGUAUCACAAGACCCCUUAUUUAUGUUUUGUUUAUCAGAAAAUAUGGAAUUCGGUCAUGGACCCCUUGGUUUCUUUCUCUAGCUGUGGAUUUUAUUGGAAUAGGCUUUCUAACCCAAGCUACAAAGUCAAUGCAUGGUGGAAAAGGGCAACCAUUGCAUCUUACUGUCUCUGAAAUGGAUGAGGUUCAGGAUUUUAUCCUUGUAGUUUUUUAAUGCAUCCAGUUCAUUGGCAUUCAGGAUAUAUCUGGCAAUGUUUUGUUAAAAGUAAUUUUUUUUUCUGGGACCUUUUAGUCAUUGGUUGAUAGAUUUGUUACUAAAUAAGUGUUGAUUUUAUGUUUGAACCAGUUAAAAAGAAGAAAAUUGUUAUGGGCUCUUUACCUUAUGAGAGAUCCAUUCUUUAGCAAGUACACCAGGUACUGAUGUGUUUUGUGAAUUGCUUUCUAAUUCUUGCAAUGUCUUGGUUGGAAUAACCAAAGAAACAACAUUAUUGCUUGUUCAUUAUUUCAGGCAAAGACUUGAAAGCACUGAAAAACUACUGGAACCUGUUCCUAUUAUCGGGCUUCUAACAGCAAAAAUUGUUGAGCUUGUUAUUGGAGCUCAGACUCGUUACACUUACAUGUCAGGAUCAUGAGACAAAUCUGCAAGAAGUUAGUCUUGUGAUAUUUCUCAACCUUUUAGGUGAAGUAUACGGCCAAUUGUAGGACUUGAGAGUUUUGUUAUCCUAGAGUAUUCUGGACAUGGUUACUGCUGUCAAAUGACUUGGUCAUAUUCCAUCCGUGUCAUAAGUAGAAAUUCAACGAAGCUUUGUUUGAUGAAAACUAGGCUCAAAUAGUCUAAUAAGUUGAAAGAUGCAGAGUGCUCAAGAAUUAGAGUGUUGUGUGCUCAAGAUUGCUUUGGCGGUCUUCUUGAGUUUAGGCUAUGUAUAUGUAAACACUAUUACGUUGGUUUAUGGAGUAGAUGUAAAUGGCAUCAAGUAAACCCAGCCAAGGGUUGGUUCAGAAUCGGAAUUGAACGAAGUCAUUUCAAAAUGAUUGAUCAAAAUCAAAUUAAUUCAGAUUGAAAUAGGAUUAAAAUCAGCCUAUUUGAUUUGAAUCACAAACUGGAUUUUUCAAGAAAAUAAAAUUUUGGGAAAAAAAUUCAACCGUAGGAGUUGAUCAAACUGAAGCUAAAUUGGAACUAGACUGGAAUGGCAGAAUCAAAACUAGGGUGCCUGUGGUUUUGAUUGGACCUGUUAAUUUCACUUAGGUUCAACUCGUUGGUCAAGUCUAGCAUCAAGUGUUCGGCAUGAAAUUGGUGAAGUUACGAUUCUGAUUGCUUUCGUAGCAGUUGCUAUCUAUGUUCGACUCCAGCACAGUUAAUCCUGGGAAUUAAGAAACUAGUUGCCGUUGCUUAUCCAUUUUGCCAUACCGAGAAGCCCCAGUUCCACGUAUGUGUUGCUUAUGUAUAAUAAGGCUAUACGUAUAUCAUGCAGAGCACGGUUGAUCCUUCCCAUUUGAUAUUCAGCUUGUAAUGGUUGUAAUCUUGACGAAAAUAAAUGAGGGUUCUUUAGUGUGACAGUCAUGCCUCUUCUUAGACUAUGGUCUGAGGUUAGCAAUUGACGUCUUUGAUUUUAGACGCAAAUUUUUUUUUUUUUAUUAU
RNAcentral lists this unclassified non-coding RNA (3301 nucleotides) under Hevea brasiliensis (rubber tree). The record is from RNAcentral. Lineage: Eukaryota; Viridiplantae; Streptophyta; Magnoliopsida; Malpighiales; Euphorbiaceae.